UACUACUCAUUUCAUGGAAAAAUUCUAGAAUGCAACGGGUAUAUUAGUGACGUGGCGUAACAAACCAAUCAAAUUAAUCCUUUUAAGAAUAUAUGUCCCAUCAUGAUUGUAAAAAAGUAUUUUUAUUGUACUUUUAUUUGAAAAGAAGGAAUGUGAUUGGCUUGUUAUUGAUGACGUGGUGCAAGUGUGACAGUGUAGAAUUCCUCCAUUUCAUGUCCCAGUUAUU
This 226-nucleotide long non-coding RNA is filed under the name Ananas comosus (pineapple). RNAcentral's name for it is "long non-coding RNA (ACOM_LNC040918)". The record is from RNAcentral. Lineage: Eukaryota; Viridiplantae; Streptophyta; Magnoliopsida; Poales; Bromeliaceae.